GUAAGGAAUAUUGGACAAUGGACGCAAGUCUGAUCCAGCCAUGCCGCGUGAAGGAUUAAGGUCCUCUGGAUUGUAAACUUCUUUUAUAAGGGACGAAAAAAGGCUUUUCUAAGUCGUCUGACGGUACCUUAUGAAUAAGCACCGGCUAACUCCGUGCCAGCAGUCGCGGUAAUACGGAGGGUGCAAGCGUUAUCCGGAUUCACUGGGUUUAAAGGGUGCGUAGGCGGGCAGGUAAGUCAGUGGUGAAAUCCUAGAGCUUAACUCUAGAACUGCCAUUGAUACUAUCUGUCUUGAAUAUUGUGGAGGUAAGCGGAAUAUGUCAUGUAGCGGUGAAAUGCUUAGAUAUGACAUAGAACACCUAUUGCGAAGGCAGCUUACUACGCAUAUAUUGACGCUGAGGCACGAAAGCGUGGGGAUCAAACAGGAUUAGAUACCCGGGUAGUCC
This 445-nucleotide ribosomal RNA is filed under the name uncultured bacterium. RNAcentral's name for it is "bacterial SSU rRNA". It matches the Rfam family "Bacterial small subunit ribosomal RNA", at positions 354 to 796 of the family's 1533-position model. The record is from RNAcentral.